Molecule: transfer RNA, 76 nt
Filed under: Enterococcus cecorum
Lineage: Bacteria; Bacillati; Bacillota; Bacilli; Lactobacillales; Enterococcaceae
Description: tRNA-Ile
Rfam family: tRNA
About the family: Transfer RNA (tRNA) molecules are approximately 80 nucleotides in length.
Source: RNAcentral
UGGGCCUAUAGCUCAGCUGGUUAGAGCGCACGCCUGAUAAGCGUGAGGUCGAUGGUUCGAGUCCAUUUAGGCCUAU